UGCCCAGUCCCCUUGGACGAGUGAAUGGUGUCGUGGCUUUCUUUUCUUCUCAGCUCGAAGUCUGCAAAGAAUAGCAAAGUGAACCUUACUCGAGAAAAAAGCACCCUUCAAACUCUAGCUAUGAUUUCUGAUAUCCAAUUAGCAGCCUUCGCCAAUAUCUUGGGGGUGUCCCUAUUUCUUCUGGU
Exaiptasia diaphana is the source of this 185-nucleotide long non-coding RNA. RefSeq lists it as uncharacterized. The record is from RefSeq and is a predicted model, not a curated record. Lineage: Eukaryota; Metazoa; Cnidaria; Anthozoa; Actiniaria; Aiptasiidae. The transcript is spliced from 2 exons.